This 495-nucleotide ribosomal RNA is filed under the name uncultured bacterium. Its description in RNAcentral is "partial 16S ribosomal RNA". It matches the Rfam family "Bacterial small subunit ribosomal RNA", at positions 28 to 507 of the family's 1533-position model. The record is from RNAcentral.
GACGAACGCUGGCGGCGUGCCUAAUACAUGCAAGUAGAACGCUGAAGGAGGAGCUUGCUCUUCUGGAUGAGUUGCGAACGGGUGAGUAACGCGUAGGUAACCUGCCUGGUAGCGGGGGAUAACUAUUGGAAACGAUAGCUAAUACCGCAUAAGAGUAGAUGUUGCAUGACAUUAGCUUAAAAGGUGCAAUUGCAUCACUACCAGAUGGACCUGCGUUGUAUUAGCUAGUUGGUGGGGUAACGGCUCACCAAGGCGACGAUACAUAGCCGACCUGAGAGGGUGAUCGGCCACACUGGGACUGAGACACGGCCCAGACUCCUACGGGAGGCAGCAGUAGGGAAUCUUCGGCAAUGGACGGAAGUCUGACCGAGCAACGCCGCGUGAGUGAAGAAGGUUUUCGGAUCGUAAAGCUCUGUUGUAAGAGAAGAACGAGUGUGAGAGUGGAAAGUUCACACUGUGACGGUAUCUUACCAGAAAGGGACGGCUAACUACGUG